UGGGGAAUAUUGCACAAUGGAGGGAACUCUGAUGCAGCGACGCCGCGUGAGGGAAGAAGGUUUUCGGAUUGUAAACCUCUGUCUUCGGGGACGAUAAUGACGGUACCCGAGGAGGAAGCCACGGCUAACUACGUGCCAA
Molecule: ribosomal RNA, 139 nt
Filed under: uncultured bacterium
Lineage: Bacteria
Description: partial 16S ribosomal RNA
Rfam family: Bacterial small subunit ribosomal RNA
Source: RNAcentral